CGCGGCAAGACGGAAAGACCCCGUGAACCUUUACUAUAGCUUGACACUGAACAUUGAGCCUUGAUGUGUAGGAUAGGUGGGAGGCUUUGAAGUGUGGACGCCAGUCUGCAUGGAGCCGACCUUGAAAUACCACCCUUUAAUGUUUGAUGUUCUAACGUGGACCCGUUACCCGGGUUGCGGACAGUGUCUGGUGGGUAGUUUGACUGGGGCGGUCUCCUCCUAAAGAGUAACGGAGGAGCACGAAGGUUGGCUAAUCCUGGUCGGACAUCAGGAGGUUAGUGCAAUGGCAUAAGCCAGCUUGACUGCGAGCGUGACGGCGCGAGCAGGUGCGAAAGCAGGUCAUAGUGAUCCGGUGGUUCUGAAUGGAAGGGCCAUCGCUCAACGGAUAAAAGGUACUCCGGGGAUAACAGGCUGAUACCGCCCAAGAGUUCAUAUCGACGGCGGUGUUUGGCACCUCGAUGUCGGCUCAUCACAUCCUGGGGCUGAAGUAGGUCCCAAGGGUAUGGCUGUUCGCCAUUUAAAGUGGUACGCGAGCUGGGUUUAGAACGUCGUGAGACAGUUCGGUCCCUAUCUGCCGUGGGCGCUGGAGAACUGAGGGGGGCUGCUCCUAGUACGAGAGGACCGGAGUGGACGCAUCACUGGUGUUCGGGUUGUCAUGCCAAUGGCACUGCCCGGUAGCUAAAUGCGGAAGAGAUAAGUGCUGAAAGCAUCUAAGCACGAAACUUGCCCCGAG
This 733-nucleotide ribosomal RNA is filed under the name Salmonella enterica subsp. enterica serovar Heidelberg. Its description in RNAcentral is "partial 23S ribosomal RNA". It matches the Rfam family "Bacterial large subunit ribosomal RNA", at positions 2071 to 2803 of the family's 2925-position model. RNAcentral also lists the same sequence under 1 other name. The record is from RNAcentral. Lineage: Bacteria; Pseudomonadati; Pseudomonadota; Gammaproteobacteria; Enterobacterales; Enterobacteriaceae.